UAGAGGAAGUAAAAGUCGUAACAAGGUUUCCGUAGGUGAACCUGCGGAAGGAUCAUUAUCGAAUUAUAAUCCGGCGAGGGGAAAGGGGGGAGCUGUCGCUGGCCUUUUACCGGGCAUGUGCACGCUCUCCUUGGAACCUUUGCCUUAUGGGCGUGGGGCGACCCGCGUCUUCAUAUACCCCUUCGUGUAGAAAGUCUUUGAAUGUUUAUAUUAUCAUCGAGCCGCGACUUCUAGGAGACGUGGUUCUUUGAGACAAAAGUUAUUACAACUUUCAGCAAUGGAUCUCUUGGCUCUCGCAUCGAUGAAGAACGCAGCGAAUCGCGAUAUGUAAUGUGAAUUGCAGAUCUACAGUGAAUCAUCGAAUCUUUGAACGCACCUUGCGCUCCUCGGUGUUCCGAGGAGCAUGCCUGUUUGAGCGUCAGUAAAUUCUCAACCCCUCUCGAUUUGCUUCGAAAGGGUGCUUGGAUAGUGGGGGCUGCCGGAGAUCUGGACUUCUCGUCUAGGACUCGGGCUCUCCUGAAAUGAAUGGGCCUGCGGUCGACUUUCGACUAUGCAUGACAAGGCUUUUGGCGUGAUAAUGAUCGCCGCUCGCUGAAGUGCAUGAAUGAAUGGUCCCGUGCCUCUAAUGUGUCGAUGCCUUCUGGCGUCUUCCUUAUUGACUUUUGACCUCAAAUCAGGUAGGACUACCCGCUGAACUUAAGCAUAUCAAUA
RNAcentral lists this ribosomal RNA (711 nucleotides) under Suillus clintonianus. RNAcentral describes it as "eukaryotic LSU rRNA". The stretch from base 267 to 421 matches the Rfam family "5.8S ribosomal RNA". The record is from RNAcentral. Lineage: Eukaryota; Fungi; Basidiomycota; Agaricomycetes; Boletales; Suillaceae.